Molecule: ribosomal RNA, 910 nt
Filed under: uncultured bacterium
Lineage: Bacteria
Description: bacterial SSU rRNA
Rfam family: Bacterial small subunit ribosomal RNA
Source: RNAcentral
AGAGUUUGAUCAUGGCUCAGGAUGAACGCUAGCGGCAGGCUUAACACAUGCAAGUCGAGGGGCAGCACAGGUGGCAACACCGGGUGGCGACCGGCGUAAGGGUGCGUAACACGUGAGCAACAUACCCGUAUCUGGAGGAUAACCGGAGGAAACUCUGCCUAAUACUCCAUAAUAUCAUCGUACGGCAUCGUUUGGUGAUUAAAGAUUUAUCGGACACGGAUUGGCUCGCGGGACAUUAGCUUGUUGGUGGGGUAACGGCUCACCAAGGCCACGAUGUCUAGGGGUUCUGAGAGGAAGGUCCCCCACACUGGAACUGAGACACGGUCCAGACUCCUACGGGAGGCAGCAGUGAGGAAUAUUGGACAAUGGUCGGAAGACUGAUCCAGCCAUGCCGCGUGAAGGUUACGGUCCUAUGGAUUUUAAACUUCUUUUGUAUGGAAGCAAUAAGGUGCACGUGUGCAUCGAUGAGAGUACCAUACGAAUAAGCAUCGGCUAACUCCGUGCCAGCAGCCGCGGUAAUACGGAGGAUGCAAGCGUUAUCCGGAUUUAUUGGGUUUAAAGGGUGCGUAGGCGGAUUAAUAAGUCAGCGGUGAAACUCACAGGCUCAACCUGUGCCGUGCCGUUGAAACUGUUUAUCUUGAAUGCGGAUGCUGUGGGAGGAAUGUGUAGUGUAGCGGUGAAAUGCAUAGAUAUUACACAGAACACCGAUUGCGAAGGCAUCUCACGAAGCCGUGAUUGACGCUGAGGCACGAAAGUGUGGGGAUCAAACAGGAUUAGAUACCCUGGUAGUCCACUACUGUAAACGAUGAUAACUCGCUGCCGGCGAUAUAUAGUCGGUGGCCCAGCGAAAGCGAUAAGUUAUCCACCUGGGGAGUACGACCGCAAGGUUGAAACUCAAAGGAAUUGACGG